ACGGCUCAGUAACACGUGAUCAACUUACCCUAUAGAGGAAAAUAACCUCGGGAAACUGAGGAUAAUGUUCCAUAGUUGAAUCGGCUUGGAAAAGUUUUUCAAUAAAAGGGAUAAGGAAAAUGGUUCUUAUCUGCUAUAGGAUAGGAUCGUGCUCGAUUAUGGUUGUUGGUGAGGUAAAGGCUCACCAAGCCGAUAAUCGAUAGGGGCCGUGAGAGCGGGAGCCCCGAGAUGGGUACUGAGACAACGACCCAGGCCUUACGAGGCGCAGCAGGCGCGAAACCUCCGCAAUACACGAAAGUGUGACGGGGUUACCCAAAGUGUUCUAUUUAGAACUGUGGUAGGUGAGUAAUGUCCCCUACUAGAAAGGAGAGGGCAAGGCUGGUGCCAGCCGCCGCGGUAAAACCAGCUCUUCAAGUGGUCGGGAUAAUUAUUGGGCUUAAAGUGUCCGUAGCCGGUUUAGUAAGUUCCUGGUAAAAUCGGGUAGCUUAACUAUCUAUAUGCUAGGAAUACUGCUAUACUAGAGGGCGGGAGAGGUCUGAGGUACUACAGGGGUAGGGGUGAAAUCUUAUAAUCCUUGUAGGACCACCAGUGGCGAAGGCGUCAGACUGGAACGCGCCUGACGGUGAGGGACGAAAGCCAGGGGAGCGAACCGGAUUAGAUACCCGGGUAGUCCUGGCCGUAAACGAUGCAUACUAGGUGAUGGCACGGCCAUGAGCCGUGUCAGUGCCGUAGGGAAACCGUUAAGUGUGCCGCCUGGGAAGUACGGUCGCAAGGCUAAAACUUAAAGGAAUUGGCGGGGGAGCACCACAAGGGGUGAAGCCUGCGGUUCAAUUGGACUCAACGCCGGG
RNAcentral lists this ribosomal RNA (848 nucleotides) under uncultured archaeon. RNAcentral describes it as "bacterial SSU rRNA". It matches the Rfam family "Archaeal small subunit ribosomal RNA", at positions 85 to 922 of the family's 1478-position model. The record is from RNAcentral.